AAUUCACUGCGACGUUGGUGACUGCCAAUAUAGUUUGUUGAUCUAUGCUUGACUGAUAAGGGAGCUUUAGUUUUCGUGGCAGUAGACCAGGCUUGUACCUGGAAACUUUUAAACUGGAAACAUUGGCACCCACCUGGGGAUAACUCAGGUCAUAAACUGAGGUAAAACGGCGUUGCGGUGGAUCU
Molecule: non-coding RNA, 185 nt
Filed under: Gloeocapsa sp. PCC 73106
Lineage: Bacteria; Bacillati; Cyanobacteriota; Cyanophyceae; Chroococcidiopsidales; Chroococcidiopsidaceae
Description: 6S / SsrS RNA
Rfam family: 6S / SsrS RNA
About the family: E. coli 6S RNA was the first non coding RNA to be sequenced, but its function was unknown until recently. It consists of 184 nucleotides that fold into an extended hairpin structure with a large single-stranded internal bulge.
Source: Rfam by way of RNAcentral